This 429-nucleotide ribosomal RNA is filed under the name Bacteroidota bacterium. RNAcentral describes it as "Bacteroidetes bacterium partial 16S ribosomal RNA". It matches the Rfam family "Bacterial small subunit ribosomal RNA", at positions 355 to 776 of the family's 1533-position model. The record is from RNAcentral. Lineage: Bacteria; Pseudomonadati; Bacteroidota.
UAGGGAAUCUUCGGCAAUGGGGGGAACCCUGACCGAGCAACGCCGCGUGAGUGAAGAAGGUUUUCGGAUCGUAAAGCUCUGUUGUUAAGGAAGAACGAGUGUGAGAAUGGAAAGUUCAUACUGUGACGGUACUUAACCAGAAAGGGACGGCUAACUACGUGCCAGCAGCCGCGGUAAUACGUAGGUCCCGAGCGUUGUCCGGAUUUAUUGGGCGUAAAGCGAGCGCAGGCGGUUAGAAAAGUCUGAAGUGAAAGGCAGUGGCUCAACCAUUGUAGGCUUUGGAAACUGUUUAACUUGAGUGCAGAAGAGGAGAGUGGAAUUCCAUGUGUAGCGGUGAAAUGCGUAGAUAUAUGGAGGAACACCAGUGGCGAAGGCGACUCUCUGGUCUGUAACUGACGCUGAGGCUCGAAAGCGUGGGUAGCAAACAGG